UGGGGAAUAUUGCACAAUGGGGGAAACCCUGAUGCAGCCAUGCCGCGUGUGUGAAGAAGGCCUUCGGGUUGUAAAGCACUUUCAGCGAGGAGGAAAGGUCAGUAGCUAAUAUCUGCUGACUGUGACGUUACUCGCAGAAGAAGCACCGGCUAACUCCGU
Molecule: ribosomal RNA, 159 nt
Filed under: uncultured Aeromonas sp.
Lineage: Bacteria; Pseudomonadati; Pseudomonadota; Gammaproteobacteria; Aeromonadales; Aeromonadaceae
Description: partial 16S ribosomal RNA
Rfam family: Bacterial small subunit ribosomal RNA
Source: RNAcentral